This 371-nucleotide long non-coding RNA is filed under the name Triticum aestivum (bread wheat). Its description in RNAcentral is "long non-coding RNA (TAES_LNC014327)". The record is from RNAcentral. Lineage: Eukaryota; Viridiplantae; Streptophyta; Magnoliopsida; Poales; Poaceae.
CCGUGUUCAUGGUGAAGGGCAGGCGGUGGAGAUGUGAAGUCCAGGCACUGUUCAAGGUAAGCACCGAAGCCAUUGCUCAUUCAUAUAAUUUUUGGAUCCCAAUUCUUUGAUCCGUGUCUGUUUAUUUCUGGUAUAUGAUGAGUUGAUGUAAUAAACAAAAUUCAUGAUAAGCCAUUGCUGAUGUUUGACCUACUUAAUUCCUCCUUUUUUUGUACGAAUUGCAGUCAGGUAAUUCUGCAGGUUGUGGCAUUGCAAGAAUUUUCAUUAUUGGGUAGAUGGAGCAUAUAAUUUCUUCUAAUUUACUCCAAAACCAAGAUUUAAGAAAUCAGGUUCUCUCCUUUUUUUUGUAACAAUGUUGCCAAAAUAGCAAU